GGGUCGAUGCCCGAGUGGUUAAAGGGGGCGGAUUGUAAAUCCGCUGGUUUAUCCUACGCUGGUUCAAAUCCAGCUCGGCCCA
RNAcentral lists this transfer RNA (82 nucleotides) under Gloeotilopsis sterilis. Its description in RNAcentral is "tRNA-Tyr". It matches the Rfam family "tRNA". From Rfam's summary of the family: Transfer RNA (tRNA) molecules are approximately 80 nucleotides in length. Their secondary structure includes four short double-helical elements and three loops (D, anti-codon, and T loops). Lineage: Eukaryota; Viridiplantae; Chlorophyta; Ulvophyceae; Ulotrichales; Ulotrichaceae. The record is from RNAcentral. RNAcentral also lists the same sequence under 1 other name.